Molecule: long non-coding RNA, 505 nt
Organism: Astyanax mexicanus (Mexican tetra)
Lineage: Eukaryota; Metazoa; Chordata; Actinopteri; Characiformes; Acestrorhamphidae
Exons: 3
Source: RefSeq, a predicted model, not a curated record
UGAUCAGAGUGAAGAACCACCAGACACCUCCUACUAUACGACCUGAGAGAGACCUGAGAGGGAGAGAGACAGAGAGAGAGAGGAUGCUUGUCUGAGGAGAGGGUUCUUCACCAGCGUCGGCAGAGAACCUCCUGCUGAAGUAAAAUUCUCCAUCGCCUUCAAAACGCACAUCAAGGAGAGAGAGAGAGAGAGACAGACAGACAGACAGGAGGAUCCUGCUAAGUUUACCUGUUUUAAUGUGCGUUCCAUGUCGAUGCCCUGGUUCCAAGGAGCCGCCGGAUUGGCCAGGCAGUCUCCAGCAUUUCCUCGGCGAGAGAUGUCAAUCUUCUGCCGCCGAAGGUUGCGGAAAGCCUCGGCCAUCACCAGCACGGCGUCAUAUGUCAACGAGGAUGAGAACUAAGAAACAAACACCCACCACACACUCUUUCAUUUAUCCUUCUUUACCCAUUAAUUGUUUUAGUGCAACUAAACUUUAAACCUUAGUGCAAAUGGUUACACUCUUUCA